This 479-nucleotide ribosomal RNA is filed under the name uncultured bacterium. Its description in RNAcentral is "partial 16S ribosomal RNA". It matches the Rfam family "Bacterial small subunit ribosomal RNA", at positions 28 to 507 of the family's 1533-position model. The record is from RNAcentral.
GAUGAACGCUAGCGGGAGGCCUAACACAUGCAAGCCGAGCGGUAGAGAUUCUUCGGAAUCUUGAGAGCGGCGUACGGGUGCGGAACACGUGUGCAACCUGCCUUUAUCAGUGGGAUAGCCUUUCGAAAGGAAGAUUAAUACCCCAUAAUAUAUUUGAUGGCAUCAUUAGAUAUUGAAAGCUUUGGCGGAUAGAGAUGGGCACGCGCAAGAUUAGAUAGUUGGUGAGGUAACGGCUCACCAAGUCGAUGAUCUUUAGGGGGCCUGAGAGGGUGAUCCCCCACACUGGUACUGAGACACGGACCAGACUCCUACGGGAGGCAGCAGUGAGGAAUAUUGGACAAUGGGUUAGCGCCUGAUCCAGCCAUCCCGCGUGAAGGACGACGGCCCUAUGGGUUGUAAACUUCUUUUGUACAGGGAUAAACCUACUCUCGUGAGAGUAGCUGAAGGUACUGUACGAAUAAGCACCGGCUAACUCCGUG